RNAcentral lists this ribosomal RNA (679 nucleotides) under uncultured bacterium. RNAcentral describes it as "bacterial SSU rRNA". It matches the Rfam family "Bacterial small subunit ribosomal RNA", at positions 8 to 686 of the family's 1533-position model. The record is from RNAcentral.
AGAGUUUGAUCCUGGCUCAGGAUGAACGCUAGCGACAGGCCUAACACAUGCAAGUCGAGGGGCAGCACGUCUUCGGAUGGUGGCGACCGGCGCACGGGUGAGUAACGCGUAUGCAACCUGGCCGUAAGAGGGGGAUAGCCUUCCGAAAGGGAGAUUAAGACCGCAUAGUAUGAUUAUGCUGCAUGGCAUAAUGAUUAAAUAUUUAUAGCUUACGGAUGGGCAUGCGUUUCAUUAGAUAGUUGGUGAGGUAACGGCUCACCAAGUCGACGAUGAAUAGGGGAACUGAGAGGUUGGUCCCCCACACUGGUACUGAGACACGGACCAGACUCCUACGGGAGGCAGCAGUGAGGAAUAUUGGUCAAUGGACGGAAGUCUGAACCAGCCAAGUCGCGUGAAGGAAGACGGCCUUAUGGGUUGUAAACUUCUUUUGUUGGGGAAUAAAGUGCGCCACGUGUGGUGUUUUGUAUGUACCCAACGAAUAAGCAUCGGCUAACUCCGUGCCAGCAGCCGCGGUAAUACGGAGGAUGCGAGCGUUAUCCGGAUUUAUUGGGUUUAAAGGGUGUGUAGGCGGUUUAUCAAGUCAGUGGUGAAAGUUCGGGGCUUAACCUCGAAAUUGCCAUUGAAACUGGUAGGCUUGAGUACAGUGGAGGUAGGCGGAAUUCGUAGUGUAGCGGUGAAA